Biomphalaria glabrata is the source of this 1318-nucleotide long non-coding RNA. RefSeq lists it as uncharacterized. The transcript has 2 exons. The record is from RefSeq and is a predicted model, not a curated record. NCBI's taxonomy places the organism in Eukaryota, Metazoa, Mollusca, Gastropoda, Planorbidae.
UAAAGGGGGAAGCCGGGAGAACUUGACAGGAAGAGAGAUGAAAUAUCAAGGUCGCAACGAAUUCUUGACGACAUCUGUUUACGACAUUGCGAUUGGUUGAACGCAAACAACACGUUGAACUAUCCAAGAAUGAAAUCGGGGUGUGUGACGUCACCAGAGCAUCUCUUUCCCUCAGAGACCUUCCAGCCCGAUUCUUGCGUGAUCUCGUAUUCCAAAUCUCGUCACAAUGUCGUGAUGAAAAACGAGAUUUUAUUUGGAACAGAAAACCAACUUUUUCCCCUAUCACACUUUGUAAACUCUAGAUAUGUUUUAUGUAAGCUUGGAAUUCGCACAAGUUCUUCCCCUUGAAAACAGAGCUCUCUUGCAUGAAUGAAUUUUGAAAUACGAGGUCCGCAAUGACGUCAUUAACGCUAUGAAAAGAUAAAUGUAGAUUCAAUGCAAGAAAACAACCGAAUCAAAACUCUGUCCGUAUAUACAAGUAGAGCUUAAAUGCAGAAAUUAGGAAAAGUAGUUAUAUAGGAUAUAAGUCAAAUUUUCAUCCAUAUGAAUAUUUUCCAUUUGGCUAUUUACUCACUAGGUCAUAUGUACUUUGGCAAGAUUCUCAAUCGUAGCUCAAUAUCUACUAAUUAAAGCUAUAUUUUUAUAGAUAAGAAAUAUUUAAAUGUACAUGUCAAUAAUUAAAUCAUAACGCAAUCUACAAAAGAACUACGUUUGUAUAAUUUACAAGACACCAAAUUAACAAGAUUUGAUUUUUUUUAAAAUCUAAAUAAGAUUUUCUUAAUUUUAAAUCUGUUCCAGAAAGUUUGGCCAGAUUUCAGAACUAGUCAAAUCAUUUUAUUUUAAUCCUUUUUUUUUAAACGAUAUAUAUAUAUAUAAUGAACAACAAAUUUUAAAAAGAUCGUUACAUGGUGAACAUGCCUAGUUAAUUUUCUCAAACACACCUCCACAAUUGAAAAAAAUAAUUAUCGUCUGCCCAUCGUGGAAAAUUCCGGAGUGAGAAAUGUUGAAGAGCGCUGGUUCCCCGGGAGAAGAAAGCGCUGACUAACCCUGUCGUCUGGCUCCGUGGACAUGUGCCACAAGCAGCCUUGUAGGCCAGGACUAAAUGUGCCACUAAAUGAAGACACGAUAACAGGCGUUCUGCCACAAUGCCAAGAUGUGACAAGUGGGAGACCAGCCAAGGGACGUCACUAUUGAUUUCCAGGCGACAGACGCGAGUUGUCAGCUGAGAGGUUGUUGGUUUGUUGUUUUUUUCUCUUCAUGUAUCCAUCUCUAUGUUUCUGCCUUCUGCCAUAUUGUAGCAAAAUAAAAAUAAAAACAA